RNAcentral lists this ribosomal RNA (427 nucleotides) under uncultured bacterium. Its description in RNAcentral is "partial 16S ribosomal RNA". It matches the Rfam family "Bacterial small subunit ribosomal RNA", at positions 355 to 774 of the family's 1533-position model. The record is from RNAcentral.
UGGGGAAUAUUGGACAAUGGGCGAAAGCCUGAUCCAGCCAUGCCGCGUGUGUGAAGAAGGUCUUCGGAUUGUAAAGCACUUUAAGUUGGGAGGAAGGGCAUUAACCUAAUACGUUAGUGUUUUGACGUUACCGACAGAAUAAGCACCGGCUAACUCUGUGCCAGCAGCCGCGGUAAUACAGAGGGUGCAAGCGUUAAUCGGAAUUACUGGGCGUAGAGCGCGCGUAGGUGGUUUGUUAAGUUGGAUGUGAAAUCCCCGGGCUCAACCUGGGAACUGCAUUCAAAACUGACUGACUAGAGUAUGGUAGAGGGUGGUGGAAUUUCCUGUGUAGCGGUGAAAUGCGUAGAUAUAGGAAGGAACACCAGUGGCGAAGGCGACCACCUGGACUAAUACUGACACUGAGGUGCGAAAGCGUGGGGAGCAAACA